CCCAGUCGAGCGGCGAACGGGUGAGUAACGCGUGGAUUAUCUGCCCUGAGGUGGGGGAUAACCCGGGGAAACUCGGGCUAAUACCGCAUACGCACUAUGGUGGAAAGCCGGGGACCGCAAGGCCUGGCGCUAAUAGAUGAGCCCAAAUCGGAUUAGCUAGUUGGUGGGGUAACGGCCUACCAAGGCGACGAUCCGUAGCUGGUUUGAGAGAACGACCAGCCACACCGGAACUGAGACACGGUCCGG
Molecule: ribosomal RNA, 246 nt
Filed under: uncultured bacterium
Lineage: Bacteria
Description: partial 16S ribosomal RNA
Rfam family: Bacterial small subunit ribosomal RNA
Source: RNAcentral